Molecule: long non-coding RNA, 2127 nt
Organism: Cyprinus carpio carpio
Lineage: Eukaryota; Metazoa; Chordata; Actinopteri; Cypriniformes; Cyprinidae
Source: Ensembl
AUGAUAUUGGCUGUUUCUCAAUAUGCGUUCUUUAGCGAUCUUGCGUCCUUGUGUUCUCGCUAUACGUCAUCAUUAACCGUCGAAGUUAAAUUCCAAUUCUCAAGAACGCAAGUACAGAGGACGCAUCCUUCCGAGUUCGUUCUUCCAAGGAAGCUUGGCAAGACCGGUCUCCACGAGAACACAAGUCCGUUCUUUGCGUUCUUGGAAUUGAGAAACAGAUCCUCUGUAUUGUUAUUGUUACAUCUGUGAUAAUUGUCCUAUUUCCACAGAUUUAGAAAGAUAACUGAAACUUUAUAGUUAUUGUUAUCAAUAUAGAUAUCAUCCUUGGUGUGAACAGGGGGGUAAUUCCAAAAAGCAGGUUAUGUGACAUACCCAGGUAUGUUUGAGGAUAAGCGAGCGGAUAACCCUAGCUUUCGGUUCUAAAAUCAGAGGUCACUUUUAGGGUAUGUAAGUAACCAUAGCAACUUGCUCUCUGAAGAUAACCUGCUCCAGAGCAGGUUAUGUUCCAAAGUUAGUUAGUUAGUUAGCGCUAUCAGUGCAUGCAUGAUCAGCACAUGAUCUACUGACGAGCCUUCAGUGGGCGUGACAGAUAGCACACGAUAUAUAUUAUAUAUUAGUACAAUACCGUUAUAUAUAACUGUAUUGUAUCUCACUUAUAUGGUUAUUAUAUUUUAUUGGAAUAUCAGUUAUCUGUAUAAAUUAUAAAACACUAUUAUGACAAGGUAAUGUUUAAUGUACUAUAUUACAUAUAUUUAUUACUUUUUAUAUUAUCAUCUCACACAUGGAUUGGCAUUUUCUAUUAUGUAUUUCUAUAAUAAAAAUACAUAUCUGAUAUGACUUAAUAUAUAAUUAGCAUCAAACAAACAAUACAAUUAUUUUUCUCAAGGAUUAAAGAGUAAACGGAAAAAAAAGAAAAAUGAUUGCAAAACCAUCAAUUAGGUGGUGAUAUGCACUAAGCAUGUAAAUGACCAUUGAACAAAAGAAGAAGAAAGCAACAGCAUGGCGUGCUUUUUCUUAGCGUCCGUUUCCAUAGCAACUCAUCGAUUCGUCGCUCUGUUGAGAAUGUCUUGAGUCUUAAUCAGGAACAUACUCUGUGUUGAAUGAAUUUACUCCCGGACGCGUUUUUAGAACCACAUACCUCGAGUAAGCAAGGUUUGGGGUUAAUCAACCAUGAGUUCAGGGUUUAAUAGAUGGUAAGUUAACUGUGCUUUUUGGAAUACCCCCCUGGCCUUUUGACUUAAUUGUCUAAUGCAGCGACCAAAUCUGACGCAUAAAGAUGGAUGCAAGAACACGUGGAAUGCCUCUAACUCUGUGGAAAGUCAGUGAUAAACUUAUAUGAAAUGAUAUGAAAAUAAUGAAAAAAUAUAUAUAUAUUAUUUUCUAAAGAUUUUUUUUGUAAUGUGACUGAUUAAUGCACACAAUUUGAAUAAACAUCAUUCGGUGGCUUUUUUUUUUUUUAACAAAUGUUGAUUUAUGUAAAUAAUCUGAUUAAUUUAAUUUGCAUAUCAUGUAUUUAAUUUGUUUAAAAAUGUAUUUGACUGACAGUCCUUCAGUUAAUAUAUUCCAGUGUACAAUAAUACUCCACAAUGAGCCGCUCCAGACAGUCUCUUUCACACUCAGCAGACAAUUUGCAUUUUGUAAUCCCUGUGAAGCUGCUAUUUCCUUAAUUGCAUAAAGUCACUUAAAAUGUUUUCUAACCGUUCCUGCGAUGACCUCCCACAUGCUUUGAGAAGCCAUUGACGGAAAACUGCUGACUGAGAGAGAAAAAAGGGAACAAAAGACUGAGAGAGAUUGGUAGGAGAGUUUGUGUUUCUCCAUCCAUGCUCAGGUGUUUGUGUGUGUGUCUAUACAUCUGUGCCACAGUGUGUGUCUGAGUGACCUGCCUUUGGGCUCAUUGACCCAUGAUACUCGCUCGGCCAGUCCAGUUCUGCGUGUUGCUGUCAAGGGGUCACAAACAUAGCCGGAGAGCAGCUAUGUGUGAGACAAACUCCCCUCGUCUCUUCCGGCCUGCCAAUAAAGUGAGCCGUUCCAUACGCCCAGUAUGUGACCCUGUCUACCAUUAGGCCAUAAACCACAGCCAGCAGAAUAGAAGCAUUUAGUCCACUGCACAAUAGCCUUCUUACUCUC